This is an RNA transcript of Lathyrus oleraceus (garden pea), 2345 nucleotides long. RefSeq lists it as uncharacterized. NCBI's taxonomy places the organism in Eukaryota, Viridiplantae, Streptophyta, Magnoliopsida, Fabales, Fabaceae. The transcript is spliced from 2 exons. The record is from RefSeq and is a predicted model, not a curated record.
AUCACAAUUACCAAGAACAGAUCUAGAUCUCUCACAUUCUCUCCAUUUUCAUCCAAGAACACAAACUUUCAUUUCCAAAAUUCUUGACCAAUUCUCAACCAAACUUGAAGAUUUCUUUUGCAUUCAUCUUCUCCAAUCAUCUACAUCAACUGUUUUUGCAAAUUGGAAGGAAAAGCUUGGCCAAACGCGACUGUUGAAGAACUCACCAUCAAUGGCAAAUCGAAAAUUCGCAUGACUGGAGCAGAAUCAAGCUAAGGCAAGGCUUUCAUUCAUCUUCUAUAUCCUUCUAGUGCGACUGUUUUCAAGAAUUAGAGCUCAAAGCCGCGCGCAUUACACUGCAAUUUCCAGGUUUGAGUGAAAUUCGACUUUAACCAUUUGCUUGAUUAUGAUAUGCGUUUUAAAGUGCGUAGCAUGUAGAUCGUCAUGAUAGCUUUAGUUUUGCAAAUGCUUGCCUGUAGUGUGAGAAAUCUUGAAAUGAAAGUAUGAAUGCGAAACUUUAAACGAUCGAUCCGGUUUACACGGUUAGGUUUAGGUUGAUUAGAUUAUAUAUUCGUGAUCUAUGCAUCGAGACCUUUCCAACGGUUAUUAGUUUGUUAAUUUUGGUGAUGAAAUGAGCGAAACCGCAUUUACCGUUCCAAGCUUGUGUGCGCGCGAGGAAGAUGAAGCUGUUCUGGAUUUUUUCCGCGUUUGAUUCUGUUUUUUGGCUUGGCAAUUCAAAUUGUUGUUUCCCUCCCUGGACGACCAAUAGCGGUGUGACAACACAUUAAUGAAUUGGAAUGGCCUUGGAUUAUUACAAUAAUGCCACUAUAAUUUAAUGUAAUUCGUUUUCAUGCUAAAUAAUUAUUUAAAAAUUACUAACAUCUUAAAAAAUUCACCAAAAAUUCAUAAAAAAUCAGAAAAAUGUGAGGAUUUUUUCCUUGACUUUGUUGACUUGUGUAGAAUUUUUUUGACCUAUUGGUCAAAGUUGUGCUUGGUAAAAAUGUUGUUUGACUUAGGCUUGUCUCACAUGUACUCAUAUUUGAUACAUUUCACCAUUUGAUUCAUGAAAUGCACAAAAUGUAAAAUAAAUUCUUGAAAAUUUUUGUGGUGGUUCUUGACUCAUUGAGGAUUAUUUAUAUGUAAAUUUCAUGAAUUUUGGAUACCCGGUUAGAGAGCAGCAAAUUCUGGAACUUAGGUGUGACAAUUUGUGUCACACCUCAUUAUGUCAACUUGCAGGAUUUUUUUGAGUGACCUAUACAUGUUAGAAUUGAAUGAAAUUUUGCAUGAUGAUUGGUUGGCAUGUCGUGAUGUUGUAUGAAUUUUUGUAGAAUUUUUCACUGCAUUUUCUAUUUGAUCAUGAUUUUUCAUUUCUGGAGAUCAUUUGUGCAAGCUCAUGUGACAUAGGUUGGUAGAAUGAUUGGGAAAUGCUCACAUUGUAUUGUAUGGCCAUGAAAUUUGAUAUGCAUGAACUAGACACAUAUUAGGACCUCCUUGUUUUGGUCUCAUCCAUUUCUUUUUUGUUUUCAAUGAGAUAUGAAUUUUUGAAGUGGAUGUAUGCAUUGAUGGUAUGAAUUGAAGCAUGAAAUGGUGUCUGUUUUUGUUGAUUUUCAUUGACAUGGUUCCAUUUGCCCAAUUGAGCUCAAAUUUGACAUGGUAGACCUUGAUAGACCCCUGUUUAGGUGUAUUUAAUUUGAGAAUUUUUGGAUGUGUUUUGGUAUGGAUUUGAAUGCAAUAAUUCUGUUUGUAUGUUUGGUGCUUCAUUUGAACCAAUAUGGAUUGUUUUGUGCAUAACAUGAGCUUGGUGGAUGAUAUAAACAUGAGACCAAUGAUGUUUGCUUGUGUUUGAUGUUAAUUUGAUGUUGGUUAAUGAAUACCUUGCUGUUUUAACUUUUUUCUUGCUUUUGGACCCUAGGCUUGGCCUAGUGGUCUAGUUGCUAAUAUUUGCUUGAUUUUUCAGGAUCAAAAAAGCAAUGUACAUGGAGAAUGAUCCAAAUCCAAUUUUGAUUGAUGUUGUGGAUGUUUGUACACUAACAUAACCUUGUUUUGUAGGUGUUGGAGCUUGGGCUUAAGCCUUGGGCUUGUUUUGUGUUGUAUUGUUUAAGCUGUUUAACUGUUUGCUUUACAGUUUGUCUGAUUGAGUACUGACUGAGGUUGAUUGUUUCCAGGUACUUUAGUUGCUCAGUUCCUUGUGAACUAUUGCUUUGCUUUGCUUUGCUUAAGCAACUUGCAUAGAGGAACCAUUGCUCGCGCUCGAAGAGUAGUACCCUUGCACUCAACACGCCCUCACAGAUAUUAUACCCGGAGAAAUACGCCCAGACUCAUGGAGCUUCCCAGUGCUGAUAUGCUGGAAUUGAAAGAUAAAAUGA